This 1150-nucleotide long non-coding RNA is filed under the name Homo sapiens (human). Its description in RNAcentral is "PREDICTED lncRNA (TCONS_00070664)". The record is from RNAcentral. Lineage: Eukaryota; Metazoa; Chordata; Mammalia; Primates; Hominidae.
GGCUGUCCACUGUCCCAAGCCCUCGCAUGUCCUGGAUGGCCGGUCAUCAUCCACACGGGGGCUGAAAGGCCCGGCUCCAGCACUCCUGUGGUCAUCAUCCUGCUGAAUCGCUUUGAACUACCCUUGGCCUAACCGCGACUCCCAUCCCGCUUCCCUCCUGCCUCGCCACUGCAGGCCUGUCCCUUUGCUUUCUUAAAACUGCGCACCGUCUGAGGCCACUUCGAGCCUACUGGAUCCCUGGUUCCAACCCAGUAGGAUCACAGAAGCAGGGCCAGCUGCCAGGAGAAAAAGUUGUUCUCUUCUACCAAAUUUUCCUGCCAUCAAAUGCUCAUUGAGUGACAAUAGAGAAAGCACCAUCAUCCUGAAGCAUCAGAUUGGGAGAAAAGUCCGCUCUCGAGAGCAUCAACUAUGUAGAAAGGGGACCAGCUUCUGCAAAAGACUUGAGACAGCUCACAAUGAAGUACUCUGUAUUAGGCAGGGUAAUAUUGAUUGCAAGUGACAGAAACCCAAUCAGAAACUCACUGGAGUCAUGAGGAACACUUAUUGGCUCAGAGUAAAGGCAAAAUAGACCUUCAGAGAAAUAAAGUCUGGGAAAUUGACUAGAUCCUCACUGAAAGAACUACUAAAGGAUGUACUUAUGGAAGAAGAAAAUUACAAAGUGAAAGAACUGGGAUGCAAGAAGUAAUGGUGAGCAUGGAAUUUGGCAAAGAUUCAAGUAAAACAAAGCAAGGACUGAGUAUAUAAAAUCAUAAUCAUAACAAAUUUUGACUAUUAUAUGUAACAGCCAAUCUCUUAACUGGGUCAUAAUAAGAAAGUGAAAGGCAGAAAAAAUGACAAAAAGAAUAAUUAGAAUGUUAAUAAGAAGAGUAACAAGAUUUUGAAAAAUUUGUGCUGGUUGAUAUCAACUUUUGGCACUUUUCUCUUUUUCUAUACUGUUAACAUAAUUAAUGAAAAAAUAAUAAUUCAUACUUCAAAAAAUUUAAGAAGUUGCACAUAUUUUCAUUUGAAAUAGUAUAAGCAUUUUACAAAUGUUAUUUUAAGCUUUAAAAAGUGAGUAAAAUUAAUAACCAAAUGGUGGAAGCAACCCAAGUAUCCAUCAAUAGAUGAAUGAAUAAACGAAAGGUAGUAUGUUUAUACAAUGGAAUAUUAU